AACAUGCUGUUCCCCAAUGUAUUCCUUUUUUUCUAACUUUCCUCUUUGCUUCAUAUUUCUGUAUACCUUAUGAAGUCCAUAAUGAAAAAGAAAUAGGAGGAGAAUGUUUCCUUUACACCGUGCAUAAAUGGCUGAAGUGUACUUAGGAACUGAAGGGUCUCGAUUUUCUGACUGCCCAGCCCCAGUGGAAUGCACAUUACAGCAACACAUCAGGAAGAAAAAAAGAUACUUUAGGGCUCUCCUGCAAAGCACUGCAAUAUUACUUUCCUGACAAGGACAAGAUUCUUCUUAAAAGAUACUCCUCUCCAUAGCAUAAGUGAGGAGCCCACUGAGAAAAGGUUGGAUGCAAGAAAAGGAAGUACUGGAAAGAUCAAAGAAACAACACUACAAAACAUAGAAGACUGAAACCAUGACUGCUAAGGCUGGAGAAUCCUGAGAAG
Molecule: long non-coding RNA, 440 nt
Organism: Neopelma chrysocephalum (saffron-crested tyrant-manakin)
Lineage: Eukaryota; Metazoa; Chordata; Aves; Passeriformes; Pipridae
Exons: 4
Source: RefSeq, a predicted model, not a curated record